Molecule: long non-coding RNA, 302 nt
Filed under: Citrus x clementina
Lineage: Eukaryota; Viridiplantae; Streptophyta; Magnoliopsida; Sapindales; Rutaceae
Description: Citrus clementina (C. clementina) long non-coding RNA (CCLE_LNC005923)
Source: RNAcentral
UGUGUCCAGCCUCCAUACAUUUUAUUUCUUUUUGUUGAUCCACAACUAACCUUUGAAUUGGUACAAGCAUUCAAGACUUUAUUGGAUUAUGAUGAAUCAUGAAACAAUGAAAUUUGGAUGUACAAGGAUUCGGGAUUUAUUAAUAGAAUCUGAAGUAGCAUUUGAAUUUCUUAUGAAAAAUAAACAUUGCAAAAAUCGCAUAUAUGGAUCAUAGCUGUCGGAAGGCGGUGAAUGAUUCUUGCAUCGUUGCAAGCUUCGAAUAUUUCCAAAUCCAACAUACUGGGCCAAGACAAACAAAUAAA